UACGUAGGGUGCAAGCGUUAAUCGGAAUUACUGGGCGUAAAGCGUGCGCAGGCGGUUUUGUAAGUUUGUCGUGAAAUCCCCGGGCUCAACCUGGGAAUGGCGGUGAAGACUGCAAGGCUAGAAUCUGGCAGAGGGGGGUAGAAUUCCACGUGUAGCAGUGAAAUGCGUAGAGAUGUGGAGGAACACCGAUGGCGAAGGCAGCCCCCUGGGUCAAGAUUGACGCUCAUGCACGAAAGCGUGGGGAGCAAACAGG
This 253-nucleotide ribosomal RNA is filed under the name uncultured bacterium. RNAcentral's name for it is "partial 16S ribosomal RNA". It matches the Rfam family "Bacterial small subunit ribosomal RNA", at positions 524 to 776 of the family's 1533-position model. The record is from RNAcentral.